Molecule: microRNA precursor, 62 nt
Filed under: Euprymna scolopes
Lineage: Eukaryota; Metazoa; Mollusca; Cephalopoda; Sepiida; Sepiolidae
Description: Esc-Mir-36-P14_pre stem-loop
Source: RNAcentral
GGGUGGUGUUCACCCGGUUGGUGUUUUGUUUAAGUUUCAUCACCGGGUAAACAUUCAUUCGC